GGGGGGAGCAAGCGUUGUUCGGAAUUACUGGGCGUAAAGGGCGCGUAGGCGGCCGAGUAAGUCGCGUGUGAAAUGCCGGGGCUCAACCCCGUGCACUGCAUGUGAUACUGCUUGGCUCGAGAGAGGUAGGGGCGAGCGGAAUUCCCGGUGUAGCGGUGGAAUGCGUAGAUAUCGGGAAGAACACCAGUGGCGAAGGCGGCUCGCUGGACCUCUUCUGACGCUGAAGUGCGAAAGCGGGGGAGCAAACAGGGAUUAGAUACCCUGGUAGUCCACGCCGUAAACGCUGGGUACUAGGUGUUGGGGGGAUUGACCCCUUCAGUGCCCGACGCUAACGCAUUAAGUACUCCGCCUGGGGGAGUACGGUCGCAAGGCUG
This 374-nucleotide ribosomal RNA is filed under the name uncultured organism. Its description in RNAcentral is "partial 16S ribosomal RNA". It matches the Rfam family "Bacterial small subunit ribosomal RNA", at positions 527 to 896 of the family's 1533-position model. The record is from RNAcentral.